RNAcentral lists this long non-coding RNA (205 nucleotides) under Elaeis guineensis (African oil palm). RNAcentral describes it as "long non-coding RNA (EGUI_LNC010755)". The record is from RNAcentral. Lineage: Eukaryota; Viridiplantae; Streptophyta; Magnoliopsida; Arecales; Arecaceae.
UUGGGGCGAUUUGGUCACUUCAGAUGAGAAAUCCAGUCGAGCCUUCUUCCUUCGCUUCCACUAUUCAGCGCUCCGACUCGAGAGAGGUCUCCAUCCCAUGUACCUUGUUCGUACCAUUUCUCUCAAAUCUACGAAGGAUCAAGGAUUGAUUGGGGGAUAGAGGGCUAGAAUUGUGAGGAGAACUGUAGAGAGGGGCUUUAGAGAA